RNAcentral lists this non-coding RNA (148 nucleotides) under Nomascus leucogenys (northern white-cheeked gibbon). The record is from Rfam by way of RNAcentral. Lineage: Eukaryota; Metazoa; Chordata; Mammalia; Primates; Hylobatidae.
GCCGGGUGUGGUGGCGCACGCCUGUAAUCCCAGAUAUUCGGGAGGCUGAGGCAGGGGGAUCGCUUGAACCUGGGAGGCGGAGGUUGCAGUGAGCCGAGGUCGUGCCACUGCACUCUAGCCUGGGCAACAGGGUGAGACUCUGUCUCAA